This is a long non-coding RNA of Canis lupus familiaris (dog), 1537 nucleotides long. RefSeq lists it as uncharacterized. The record is from RefSeq and is a predicted model, not a curated record. NCBI's taxonomy places the organism in Eukaryota, Metazoa, Chordata, Mammalia, Carnivora, Canidae. The transcript is spliced from 2 exons.
UCCCCCAGGGAGGGGCGGGUGGGAGCAGCGGGGGCUAGGAGGGCUCUCCUUGGUGUGGCAGGCAAAAGGUAGAGCCCAGAGACCCCGACAGCUUAGGGCAUCAGAGACCUCUCUUCGGCCUGAGAAUAUAGAUUCUGCUAUGUUUCUCAUUUAGGGGUUAAGACCAAGAGGGCAAAAGACAUCAUUCCAUAAGGCCCCUCCCUGGCCCCUGAAAGGAGAUGGGGGUGAGGGGCGGGACAUCCCCCACUCAGGCCGUGAAGCAGGCUGCGCCUCGGGAUGCUGCCCUCCCACUGGGCAGGGGCACCGCGAGACCACACAUACUUGAGCUCCUGAGCAAUUGCUGCGAUUUGCUCCACGCGGUCCUGGUGGGCGGCCAGGUCACUCUCAAAGGCCUCGUGCUUGCGAAUGAGAGCUUUAAUAUCCGACAGGGUGGCCGUCUCAUAGUCCCGCUGCUUCAGCAUGGCUUCCUUCCCUGGGGGCAGGCAGAGGGCAGGAGGUGUUUAGACAACAGGGCCGCGGGAGUUCAGAGGGCUGUCCAGCCCCAGAAAACGGGGUACAGACUCCACAUCCUGCCUCACGAGGAUGGUGCUGUGAAGACUAGAAACCCCCAGAACUGUUUUCCUUGCCUUUUCAAGGGAUCUCUAAACCCAACUCUCACCUGGAUGGAGCUGGGAGACAUUGUGGGGCUGGGGGGCCUGAGACAGAUACCCCAAUUCAACCUGCGUGUUCUUAACUUGGGGCUCUUUAUCAGUAGACUGUAGGAACUAAACUGUGCCACCACUGCUGGAAAGGUAGACACCCAUCUGUGGAGGAUCAGCAUUUGGACAAGCCAUUGGGGUUGCAGCCCAUGCCCCAGUGGUGUGGGGGCAAGGGGGAGUGUUCUGGUCAGAGCUCUCCAUGGGCCCAACCCCUUGUGGCUGCCUCCUGGCACGUGGGGGCCAGGUUCCCUCGGGGUGGGGCCCUAUCACAAACCUCUGUGUCCUCUGCCACCCUACGGGCCUUCUACACACAGUGAGGUGGGGCCCAUUGUCAGGCCCUUUGAAGGGAGAGAGGAACACUAUUAUUAGUCCUGGAGCCUGGCUAAUUAUAUACCCCAGGACAGAAGCUCAAGUAGGCCCUGGAAGUAUGUGGUGGUAUUGAAGAGAACGGGACGAGAAAAGGCCAGUCUGUGAAGGUAGCUGGGAACCCUGGCACCCAAAGGUGCUCUGCUUCAGGACCUCCUACAGCUCCAGGUGGGGGCUGAAGAGCUGAUCACAUGGGCCAUGAGGCCCGAGAAAGGAAGUGCAUGGGGAUGGUGCCCAGAGCCCAUGGAAGGACAGUGGAGAAGCAGGACAUGGAUGAUGAAAGGAGAAAGACAGCGGAGUCCAGGAAUGGAGCACGGAUGCUAUAAAACCCACUUACACGCCCCAGGACCCUCUGACAAGAGAAAAGCCAGAGUCUGUGGGGUUGUGAGUUCCCCGGGCAGGGGCCUCGCCCCCCCCCUGGGAAAGUACUGGGCGCAAGAAGAGCCGAAUGAAAAAAUAAAUGAACAAAUGCA